RNAcentral lists this ribosomal RNA (438 nucleotides) under uncultured bacterium. Its description in RNAcentral is "partial 16S ribosomal RNA". It matches the Rfam family "Bacterial small subunit ribosomal RNA", at positions 28 to 507 of the family's 1533-position model. The record is from RNAcentral.
AACGAACGCUGGCGGCAUGCCUAAUACAUGCAAGUCGAACGAGAUCUUCGGAUCUAGGGGCGCACGGGAGCGGAACGGGAGGGAAGCUGCAUUUGGGUUUGGAAUAACUUCUGGAAACGGAUGCGAAUACCGGAUGAGGACGUAAGUCGAAAGAGUCAUCGCUCAAGGCGGGGCCGGCGCCGGAUCAGGUUGUUGGUGGGGUAAGGGCUCACGAAGCCGACGAUGGUUAGCUGGCCAGGGAGGGUGAUCGGCCACAAUGGGACUGGGACACGGCCCAGACCCCUACGCGAGGCAGCAGUGGGGAAUGGUGCACUAUGGGCGAGAGCCUGAUGCAGCGCCGCCGCGUGCGGGAUGACGGCCUUCGGCUUGGAAUCCUAUUUCAGCUUUGCCGGAGCGAAAGUGACGGUACGUGGAGAAGAAGCGCCGGCUAACUACGUG